RNAcentral lists this ribosomal RNA (559 nucleotides) under Salmonella enterica. RNAcentral describes it as "bacterial SSU rRNA". It matches the Rfam family "Bacterial small subunit ribosomal RNA", at positions 956 to 1515 of the family's 1533-position model. The record is from RNAcentral. Lineage: Bacteria; Pseudomonadati; Pseudomonadota; Gammaproteobacteria; Enterobacterales; Enterobacteriaceae.
GCAACGCGAAGAACCUUACCUGGUCUUGACAUCCACAGAACUUUCCAGAGAUGGAUUGGUGCCUUCGGGAACUGUGAGACAGGUGCUGCAUGGCUGUCGUCAGCUCGUGUUGUGAAAUGUUGGGUUAAGUCCCGCAACGAGCGCAACCCUUAUCCUUUGUUGCCAGCGGUCCGGCCGGGAACUCAAAGGAGACUGCCAGUGAUAAACUGGAGGAAGGUGGGGAUGACGUCAAGUCAUCAUGGCCCUUACGACCAGGGCUACACACGUGCUACAAUGGCGCAUACAAAGAGAAGCGACCUCGCGAGAGCAAGCGGACCUCAUAAAGUGCGUCGUAGUCCGGAUUGGAGUCUGCAACUCGACUCCAUGAAGUCGGAAUCGCUAGUAAUCGUGGAUCAGAAUGCCACGGUGAAUACGUUCCCGGGCCUUGUACACACCGCCCGUCACACCAUGGGAGUGGGUUGCAAAAGAAGUAGGUAGCUUAACCUUCGGGAGGGCGCUUACCACUUUGUGAUUCAUGACUGGGGUGAAGUCGUAACAAGGUAACCGUAGGGGAACCUGC